UACGAAGGGGGCUAGCGUUGUUCGGAAUCACUGGGCGUAAAGGGCGCGUAGGCGGCUUUGUAAGUCGGGGGGUGAAAGCCUGUGGCUCAACCACAGAAUUGCCUUCGAUACUGCGAGGCUUGAGACCGGAAGAGGUUAGUGGAACUGCGAGUGUAGAGGUGAAAUUCGUAGAUAUUCGCAAGAACACCAGUGGCGAAGGCGGCUGACUGGUCCGGAUCUGACGCUGAGGCGCGAAAGCGUGGGGAGCAAACAGG
This 254-nucleotide ribosomal RNA is filed under the name uncultured bacterium. RNAcentral describes it as "partial 16S ribosomal RNA". It matches the Rfam family "Bacterial small subunit ribosomal RNA", at positions 524 to 776 of the family's 1533-position model. The record is from RNAcentral.